UCUCUAUCCUGGCCUCUGUUUGGAAGCCUUCUUUUUCAGAUUCUCUCCAAUCAGGAUGUUCUGCAAUAUAGGAGGUGAGACUUCAACCUCCCUUUUACCAGAGCUUCAGGGUCCCUGCCCGCUAAACAGCCUGGAGUUGCAUGAAGUCAGCUUGAAGGCCUGUGCUGGUGUCUCCCUUGCUGUGCUAGGCCAUGGAAUCCCUGCGUUGCUUCUCAACACCUUUCUACCAUUACUCAACCUUUCUCCUUGUGGAGAGUGCCUCUGCUGAUCUCUGUGUUUCAUAAUCAUAUCCAUUCAUCGAAGUCAAGAUCGAAGGAUGCCCACCUUUAGAUGUGUGUCCUGUUGGAAAAUGAAUAAUAAUCUCAGACCCAUCACACUCACGAGGCGGCGACAAAUGUCACACGAGAGAAGACAGAACUGCAGAAGAGAACAUGCCCUGCACUCAAGUGUGUGUUCAUCUGUUUA
Long non-coding RNA from Peromyscus eremicus (cactus mouse), 465 nucleotides. RefSeq lists it as uncharacterized. The transcript has 3 exons. The record is from RefSeq and is a predicted model, not a curated record. Lineage: Eukaryota; Metazoa; Chordata; Mammalia; Rodentia; Cricetidae.